Molecule: long non-coding RNA, 358 nt
Organism: Lacerta agilis (Sand lizard)
Lineage: Eukaryota; Metazoa; Chordata; Lepidosauria; Squamata; Lacertidae
Exons: 2
Source: RefSeq, a predicted model, not a curated record
CCUGCCACUGGCGGCGCGCGCCCCAACCGUCGAGGUGGAGAGGGAGGGAGGGAGGAGGAUCCGGCGCGAGGCAACCCAAACGCGACUGAAGCGUCGAAACGAGAAGGGGGCGGGGCGGGGUGCCCUGCGCACGCGCACACAUCGCGCUUCAAGCCCUACUACGCAAAGGAGCUGAGGAGAUGGAACUUGUCGGAGCAAAGAGCAGCAGUUUGAUUUACAGUAGUACCGCUCUCCGCCGGCGAGCGGAGGUCCCGGCCUGAACCACUGGCUGAGAAACAAGACCCAGCCUGGAGAAGAAAAUUCUGGUGAGCUCAACAGCUUUCUCACUACAUUAUAUCAUGGGCACCUACACAACACC